This 76-nucleotide non-coding RNA is filed under the name Candidatus Berkelbacteria bacterium. Lineage: Bacteria; Candidatus Berkelbacteria. The record is from RNAcentral.
AAGUUAUGAUUGUUUUGGUGAAGACGGUGUAAUUCCGUCGCUGUGCCGCAACGGUUAAAGCCCGAUCCCAUUUUUU